RNAcentral lists this ribosomal RNA (495 nucleotides) under uncultured bacterium. RNAcentral's name for it is "partial 16S ribosomal RNA". It matches the Rfam family "Bacterial small subunit ribosomal RNA", at positions 28 to 507 of the family's 1533-position model. The record is from RNAcentral.
GAUGAACGCUGGCGGCGUGCCUAAUACAUGCAAGUAGAACGCUGAAGGAGGAGCUUGCUCUUCUGGAUGAGUUGCGAACGGGUGAGUAACGCGUAGGUAACCUGCCUGGUAGCGGGGGAUAACUAUUGGAAACGAUAGCUAAUACCGCAUGACAACAGUUAUUGCAUGAUAACUGUUUAAAAGGGGCAACUGCUCCACUACCAGAUGGACCUGCGUUGUAUUAGCUAGUUGGUGAGGUAACGGCUCACCAAGGCGACGAUACAUAGCCGACCUGAGAGGGUGAUCGGCCACACUGGGACUGAGACACGGCCCAGACUCCUACGGGAGGCAGCAGUAGGGAAUCUUCGGCAAGGGACGGAAGUCUGACCGAGCAACGCCGCGGGAGUGAAGAAGGGUUUCGGAUCGUAAAGCUCUGUUGUAAGAGAAGAACGAGUGUGAGAGUGGAAAGUUCACACUGUGACGGUAUCUUACCAGAAAGGGACGGCUAACUACGUG